GAUGAACGCUGGCGGCGUGCCUAAUACAUGCAAGUCGAGCGAACGGACGAGAAGCUUGCUUCUCUGAUGUUAGCGGCGGACGGGUGAGUAACACGUGGAUAACCUACCUAUAAGACUGGGAUAACUUCGGGAAACCGGAGCUAAUACCGGAUAAUAUUUUGAACAGCAUGGUUCAAAAGUGAAAGACGGUCUUGCUGUCACUUAUAGAUGGAUCCGCGCUGCAUUAGCUAGUUGGUAAGGUAACGGCUUACCAAGGCAACGAUGCAUAGCCGACCUGAGAGGGUGAUCGGCCACACUGGAACUGAGACACGGUCCAGACUCCUACGGGAGGCAGCAGUAGGGAAUCUUCCGCAAUGAGCGAAAGCCUGACGGAGCAACGCCGCGUGAGUGAUGAAGGUCUUCGGAUCGUAAAACUCUGUUAUUAGGGAAGAACAUAUGUGUAAGUAACUGUGCACAUCUUGACGGUACCUAAUCAGAAAGCCACGGCUAACUACGUG
Molecule: ribosomal RNA, 497 nt
Filed under: uncultured bacterium
Lineage: Bacteria
Description: partial 16S ribosomal RNA
Rfam family: Bacterial small subunit ribosomal RNA
Source: RNAcentral